GUCUCUGGUUGGUGAUCCCUCUCUUGUGGAGUUUUCCCUGUGAGUCUGCAUCUUCAGAGAUGGAUCUGCACUGUGGGUCUUGCCUUCUGCCUUGCUGAUGAGAGAGCAUUGCAUGUUUGAGGAGGCAGGUCCUUCUCCCUGAACCACGCUCCAUGCAGGCCUGAGGGAAGCACGCUCUCUGAGCUGAGUUGCUCUGCUGGAAGACAGCUGGUGUGUUUCCCAAAUGAGGGUAUGCCAUGCAUUAGCAUCACAUGGGUCUGUGUGCCUUUCAACUGCAGUCAUGAGAGUAAGAAGAAGAGUUUUGAGAUAUUUAUAUGAGCGUUUUACGCAGUCUCACAAGUGUAACAAAAUAAAAGGAGUAAUUCCCACAGCUGGUUUUGUAGCUCUGGUGUAUGAAGCUGUAUGAUGCCUUCUUUUUUCUGCUCAUCACUGGCUGCUUGUGACUGUCAUCAGCCCAGGUGAAUCUUUGUUUGUGUGAGAACUGUAUAUGUGACCAAAAAUGAAGUUGCAGAAAAACUUACAAUCUUUUAUCUUGCACUGAGAUGCAAAAUAAGCUUUCAUUUUUUCCUGUUACAUCAGAUGUUUUGGGACUGACUUUGUUCAAAUGCAACUUUAAAGAGCUAUGGAGAGAAAAUGCGGCACCAAAGCACAAGGACAAGUUUAGACUACAAUUGUAGGCUUUUGUCAUACAACUCUGAGAACAGUGCUCUGUCUCAUUGUAUUUUUUCACUUUGCUGAGGAAAAGCUGCUGAUCCUUGCUGCCUACCCCUUGUCCCUUUUUCCCUCCCAGCAAACUGGGUUGGUUUUUUUUGGUGAAAGUGUGGUUUUAUACACUCCUGAAAUGAAAAGAGAGACAGCAGGUAGCACCAAGCAGCAAAUUGGAAUGAGUCUAUUUUGUCAUCUUCCUGUUCUCUUAAAUGACAAAAGUUCAGUCUUGAGAAUCCAUAGCUUUUAAAAUUAUGCCUGUGAGGAAAUCUUUUUUUUUGAGAUUUUUACUGUUUCCGCUUACUGUAACCAGGUAUUUUCACCACGAGUAGAACAUAAGUGCAUUUACUCUGUGACUGAUUCUUCUACUUUAAAACAAGCCCUAAUUUUUCAUUAUUCCAGAUGCUCUUCCUCCUACAAUGUUUGCACACUGCGUACUGCAUGUCUGAGUUUGACCCAUUGGUAAUGGUGAUGGUGGCUGCUCUUGUUAUUGUGGUCCUGCUAAAUCAACGGAUAUUAAUUAAGUUAAACAGCACGAGUAGAAUGAAAGUGAACAGAAAAUGUACUGAAAAUACAGUUCUGAGCUCCCAGCUGCACCAAUGAAAGCUGAAGUAGGCACUUUAUCUGCUAGGUUACAGUCUCUGGUUAUCAUCCAUGGGAAAUUAAAGGUAUUAUUUUUAC
Gallus gallus (chicken) is the source of this 1386-nucleotide long non-coding RNA. The record is from Ensembl. Lineage: Eukaryota; Metazoa; Chordata; Aves; Galliformes; Phasianidae.